This 386-nucleotide unclassified non-coding RNA is filed under the name Hevea brasiliensis (rubber tree). The record is from RNAcentral. Lineage: Eukaryota; Viridiplantae; Streptophyta; Magnoliopsida; Malpighiales; Euphorbiaceae.
GCAUUUACCAUCGAUCUCUCGCCGUCGCUGCCACCGUUAACCACCGUUGCUGCUGGCUGAGGAGUUGAAUCACCGAAACGGUCAGUGGGAAAUGUGUGUAUUUCCAUAAGUCUUUUUUUGUCAUUCCGAUCUAUAAAGUAUCGGCUGGUGAAUUUUUUUUUUCGGCGAAGGAGUUUGCUGUUAGGUCUAGGUGUUCCUUUUUAGUCUUUUUUAUGGCUUCGGAGGAUGUGAAGGCGGCGAGAGAUUCGGCUGUGGAGAAAAUUGUGAACCUGGCGGAAGAGGCUAAGCUAGCUAGAGAAGAAAUUAAGCCUACAAGCCAUGCUGUCCUCAGUAUUUGCAAGUCACUUGUCGCCGGAGGUGUUGCCGGAGGCGUGUCACGAACUGCU